Molecule: RNA transcript, 5637 nt
Organism: Macadamia integrifolia
Lineage: Eukaryota; Viridiplantae; Streptophyta; Magnoliopsida; Proteales; Proteaceae
Gene name: ubiquitin C-terminal hydrolase 13-like
Exons: 37
Source: RefSeq, a predicted model, not a curated record
AAAGGAGGAAGAGGGGAGAAGAGGGGAAGACAGGUUCUUUUCUCUUCAACCAGGGAAAACGGAAAGGGAGAGAAGAGGGGAAGAAAAAUGGAAAAUCGAAAGAAAAAGAGAAGGUUCGAGAAGAUCGGAAGCCUAUAAGAAGGGAAAUCAAAGGAAGAAUGCGGGGGGUUUUUCUUUUGUUUUUUUCUUAGGGAAGCCGAAGGCGAUUUUAGGGAAGAGAGUGAGAGAAUAGGUGUUGAGAGUUCAGGUUCUGCUUUCUCUUUUCUUCUUCUGUUUUGUUCACGGUGCUCGCUCAGCGGCGAGAUUUCUUGAUUUUGACUAUGAGAGAGGGAGAGUGAAGUCCGUCCGAAUUGCUUCCUUUUUCUCUUCUCUGUGCACUGAUUAUAGAGAGAGGGGUAGAUCGGUGCUGUUCUUCUUUGGCCCGAGCUAUCGUCUUUCCCACCUUGCAACCCCGAUCUCAUGCUGAGACACUCAAUCGGAAAUGGUGACUGUUUAUUGAUGCAUCUUAAAGCUUCCAAACCCAAGGGCGACCUAUUUCAAAGCUAGAGCGCCUAUCGGGCAGAUCGAAGGAUUCCUGAUCCAAGAAUCGAUCAAGAAAAAAAAAUUAAAAUAAAAGAAAACACUCGACCGUUCAUCCGAAAUCCUUCAUCGCAGGAGCCUCGGGUCGCUGCAGAUUUAGUAUCAAUCUUCAUUUGGCUCUGUUACUUUCGUGCCCCAACCCGGUCUAUUUUGAACUGUUGUGAUAGGUCUCGGACCGGAGAUCGGAAGUACAGUCGGGUUUUGGCUUGCGGUCGCUCAUUGCCCAAUGGGGAGAGAUGAUCCCACAUGUUCAUGCAUCACAUGCCAGUCUAACUAGAGGGGGUUUGUACCUUUUGAUCCCAUACGGUAAGUGACCCGACUCCCCGCACAUGAAUCCCGGCCCAUACCAAUGUUGUCGAAAGGCCAUGAGCACAGCCGAGGGCAACUACCUGUGCAAGGCCAAUUGGUGGACAACAAGCAGUCAAGACAGCAAGAUAGCAAACUGUCAUGACCAUCGGAAACAAGCCACCGAAAGCACUGGGCCUGAAUCCGGUGGAGUGUUUCCGGUGAGCCAAACAUGCUGCUGUCAAUGUUUUGAUGCAUGUGGGUCCCACCACUCGCAUCAUAUAUAGCCUCGGAUGAUCCCAAAUCAUACUCUACAUCUUCCUCGUGACGUGAGCACAUUGCGGACCUAAGUGGUCAGGUUCUCGGGCUCUGAAAGUCGUAUUAACCCGAUCGGUCCAAAUAGGGUUCAACCAAACGGACCCUAAGGCUCAACUUAACACAUAAAUUAGAAAUGAGGAUUUCACUUUCUUAUUUCGCAUUGUGCGCAAACGUGGGAGAGGAGAGGAGAGGAGAGGAGAGGAGAGAAGGAGGAGAAGAAGAGGAAGAAGGAGGAGAAGAAGAGGAAGGAGGGAAGAACAUACCUUGGUCCUGGCUGCCGCAUCGUUGCAGGAAAUCUCUGCCGGAGGACAACGACGUACACGUGCCCCAAAGUCGGAAUUGAGUUGAUCGAUCGGUGGCCGUACGUGAACCCUAACACACAAGAACAUAAGCCAGAUGAUGAUGCAGGUAUGGUCAUGCCUAUGGCUAGUGACUCUCUUUCCUCCAGACAUGAAUACGGAGAGAGUGCCUAGUGGAUGUCGGAAGCGGAGGAGAAUGGCCAGGACUGUGCUUGUGAUUUUUAUGCAUACGCGGUACCAUGAGUUGUUCGGCGUAUUUUUUGUGAUUUUGAUACCAGCCUAUGUGUGCAGUAAGACGACGCUCAUUGUUAAUCCACCAGCUAUAUUUUCGCAGCAGUCCCCAGGCAAUGGAAGUUGAGCAAGCAGACACUGCUGGUAUGGUUGAGAACCAGUCAGUCGAGGAUCCUUCAUCGUCGAAAGUCACAAUCACAUGGGAGAUUAAGAGAUUUUCUAGUUUGAAGCUUUCUAAGUUGAAAAAGGAGCACUACUCUGAUAUUUUAUCCAUCGGAGGUUACAAGUGGCGUGUGGUCAUUUGUUUAAACAAAGCGGAUUAUUUGUCACUAUACCUAUAUGUUGCAAAUUCAGAGGAUCUGCCUUAUAGAUGGAGUAGAUGGACUAAAUUCAGCUUGGCCGUGAUUAAUCAAUCAGAUAGGAAACGCACAGUUAAAUAUGAGACACAAUGCCUGUUUAAUGCUCAAAAGACUAAGUGCGGUUUUCCGUGGUUCAUGCUGCUGAGUGAAAUAUGUGACACUGAUGGAGGAUAUAAUGUGGAGAACACAGUUAAAGUGGAAGUUGAGGUUGCUGUGAAGGCUAUAGAUUAUUUGUCAUAUGAUUCGAAAAAGGAGACAGGUUAUGUUGGAUUUGAGAACCAUGAGAACCAAACUGCACCCCAUUACAUGAAUUCUCUCCUCCAGACUUUGUACCAUAUCCCCAAGUUUAGAAAGGCUGUGUAUAAUAUUCCAACAAUCCUGAAUGCUAUGCCAUCUUGGAGCAUCCCUCGGGUUCUGCAGAGCUUAUUCUAUAUGCUUCAAUACAGUAACAAUAGUGUUGUGACAAGAAGGCUGUACCAUUCCUUGGACUGGGACACGGAUGUUCAACAUGAUGCACUGCAACAUAGCAUGUCUAUUUGUGGAAGUCUAGAAAAUAAAAUGAAGGGAACUGCUAUGGAGGGUAGUAUUCGAUGGUUGUUUGAAGGUUACAGUACGAGUUACAUUAAAUGCAUCAAUGUGGACCUCCGUGUUAACGAAGUGGAGUCAUUUCUCGGUCUUCGUAUUGAUGUCGGCUGUCAAGACGUCUAUGCUUUUUUUGAUAAGUAUGUGAAAGAUGAACGCCUUGAGGGUGAUAACAAAUACAUGACUGUGCGACAUGGACCACAGGAUGCUACAAAGAAGGUCCUGUUCAAGAGCUUCCCUCCUGUCCUUCAGCUUCAGCUAAAUUGGUUCGAGUAUGAUUCUUGUGGGUACCAUAUAGGCAAGAGAAAUGGCCGUUUUGAGUAUCCUUUGAUAUUGGACCUUGAUCGAGAUAAUGGAAAGUAUUUAUCACCUGAAGCAGAUCAAACAGUACGCAACCUUUAUACACUUCACAGCGUUUUAGUUUGUGGUGAUGGGGUGGGGGAUGAACAUAAUUAUGCUUUUAUCAGGCCAACCCUCUCUGAUCAAUGGUUCAAGUUUUAUGAUGAACGGGUAACCAAAGAAGAUAUGAGUAGGGCCUUGGAAGAGCAGUAUGGUGGUGAGGAAAAGGCUAAUCCUGGCUUCAGUAACACUCCGUUUGAAUUUUCAAGAUACUCUUGUGCCUACAUGCUUGUGUAUAUACGUGAAAGUGACAAGGAGGAAAUAUUUUGUGACGUGGCUGAGGAGGACAUGGCUGAAAUUCUUAAGAUAAGGUUGAAGAAAGAAAAAGAACAGGAGGAAAAGGAGCACCGGAAAAGGGAAAAGGAAGAGGCUCACCUUUAUACAGUCAUAAAGGUUGCACGAAAUGAGGAUCUCAUAGAGCAGAUUGGGAGAGAUGUUUAUUAUGGUCUUGUUGAUCAUGAUAAAGUCCAGAGCUUCCAUAUUCAAAAUUCAACGCCUUUUUUCUUUUUCAAGGAGCAGUUUGCUAGAGAUAAUGGCUUUGCAGUGGAGUUCCUGUGCUUUUGGCUGUGGACCAAGGGUCGAAAUGGUACUUAUGGUCCAAGAAAGCGAUUGACUUGUUUUGAUGAGAAUAAAUCCGUCGCAAAGUUGAGGAAGCUUUCAAAUAGAAUGCAUAAUGGAGAACUUAAAUUAUUCUUCGAAGUAAAGCUUGUGCCGGUGCCGACUUACUUUCUUGUUACUGACUUGAGCAAGGGAGAAGACGAUAUUCUGCUGUUCUUCAAGCUAUAUUGCCCUGAGAGAAAAGAGUUCCGGUAUGUUGGAAAGCUAUCUGUUAAGGCUAUGGGUAAGCCUGUGGAUAUCCUGACAGAACUAAAUGAAAUGGCUUGCUUUGACCCUUAUCAAGAAAUUGUACUUUACAAGGAAAUUGAAUUCAAGUGUGAAGACAUUGACAAUGAACUCACUUUUCGUUCUAGCCAGAUUGAGAAUGGGGACAUUAUUUGUUUUCAGAAGAAGUUUAAGCCUGCUGUUUAUGGCAUUCAUGAACACGUCCCAUCAUGUCCUACUGUUAGAUCAUUUUUGGAAAAUGUACAUUAUCGCCAGGUUGUGUAUUUCCAAUGUCUCGAUAAACCAAAUGGGAAAGCUUUUUUUCUGGAGCUGUCAAAGCUGUCCACAUAUGAUAUCACUGUCAGAAGAGUUGCUCAGUUUAUUGGUUUGGAUGAUCCAUACAAAAUUAGACUCACGAUCCAGAAUUGUUUAUCUGAGCAGCCUUUUUCCGUUCCAAUUGAUCACCAGCGGGUAAAGCAUUUAUCAGACAUGCUGGUCUACAGCGGUCAUGCUUCAGAUAUGUUGUAUUAUGAAGUAUUGGCUACCCCUCUUCCAAAAUUGAAUGAUCUGAAAACUCUGAAGUUUGCUUUUCAUUCAACCGUAAAGGAUAAGGUGGUCUUUCAUAGUGUGACACUUCCAAAACGCUACAGGGUAGCAGAUUUAUUUUGUCACUUGAUAGAUAAGGUUAAGCUUUGUCAUUCCAAUGCAAGACUCAGGUUACUUGAUGUUUCCGAUCACAAGAUCUCUGUGAUCUUUCACCUGUGGGAAGAAAUAGGGGACAUAGAUGAUAAGCAGCUGUUACGAGUUGAGGAGAUUCCUGAAGAAGAGAGAAACUGUGGUCCUCAGGAUUGCUUGAUUCAUGUUUUUCACUUCAGAAAGGAUACCUCCCAAUUCCUGAUGUACUUUGGAGACCCUUUUUGCUUGAUCAUUCACGAAGGCGAGACUUUAGCCAAAAUUAAACUGCGUAUACAGAAGAAAUUGCAAGUUCCUGACGACAAGUUUGUUAAGUGGAAGUUUGCAGUUGUUCAAUUCAAUCGUCCCAAGUAUCUUGAAGAUUCUGCCAUUGUAUCUAGUUAUUUUCAGGACGGACGUACACGUGGAGUUUCAAAGCCACAUCUUGGACUGGAGCGCCCUUUUAGUGAUUUUAUAAUGUCUUUAGCGCCCAAUAAGAACCGUAUUACAUGUGAGAUAGUGGAAGGGGUGGAACCUUCGAAGGGUGCUGAUGACCGCCGAUUCACCAGCGGUGGAGCAAAGAGACGUCGCAUAAGUGCUACUGGACGUUCUUAAUGGAUCCAGGUGUUUUCUCCUUCAAGUAGCUCCUUACAUAUCAACCUACCAAAUUUCAACUUCAAAUUAUGAUUACUUGAUGACGAGAAACAUUUAUGAAGGAAGUGUGAAGGCUUUACCAUCUGGAGCAAAAGAUGCAUUGCAGUGGAAGUGGCGGUGAAGGAAGUCUGGAGCAAUUCUGAAGUCCCAAGUAACUUUACUUUUGACUUAACCAUUACCUCAUGUCUUCAUAGCCGUUAGGUGUGGAACCUUUAUUUUUUGAUGUGUACAAAUUUAUGCAACUCCUAAUUUUUUGUUGUAGACCUACUAACGAGGUAGUGGUUUUUUUGGCUAAGCUUGCUUACAUGACCAUGCACAACAAAAAGCAACUAUAUGUGGAUAAUCCUUAACUAUGUAAUUUGGUCACUCUUUUUUGAUUUCUAGUUUCUUUGUUGCUUUGAUUAGAAAAAAAAGAAGAAAAAAAGCAUUGGUUUGUU